Molecule: ribosomal RNA, 468 nt
Filed under: uncultured bacterium
Lineage: Bacteria
Description: partial 16S ribosomal RNA
Rfam family: Bacterial small subunit ribosomal RNA
Source: RNAcentral
GACGAACGCUGGCGGCGUGCUUAACACAUGCAAGUCGAACGGAAAGGCCCUGCUUUUGUGGGGUGCUCGAGUGGCGCACGGGUGAGUAACACGUGAGUAACCUGCCCUUGACUUUGGGAUAACUUCAGGAAACUGGGGCUAAUACCGGAUAGGAGCUCCUGCUGCAUGGUGGGGGUUGGAAAGUUUCGGCGGUUGGGGAUGGACUCGCGGCUUAUCAGCUUGUUGGUGGGGUAGUGGCUUACCAAGGCUUUGACGGGUAGCCGGCCUGAGAGGGUGACCGGCCACAUUGGGACUGAGCUACGGCCCAGACUCCUACGGGAGGCAGCAGUGGGGAAUAUUGCACAGUGGGCGGAAGCCUGAUGCAGCAACGCCGCGUGCGGGAUGACGGCCUUCGGGUUGUAAACCGCUUUCGCCUGUGACGAAGCGUGAGUGACGGUAAUGGGUAAAGAAGCACCGGCUAACUACGUG